RNAcentral lists this RNase P RNA (404 nucleotides) under Alphaproteobacteria bacterium. RNAcentral describes it as "RNase P RNA component class A". It matches the Rfam family "Bacterial RNase P class A". From Rfam's summary of the family: Ribonuclease P (RNase P) is a ubiquitous endoribonuclease, found in archaea, bacteria and eukarya as well as chloroplasts and mitochondria. Its best characterised activity is the generation of mature 5'-ends of tRNAs by cleaving the 5'-leader elements of precursor-tRNAs. Lineage: Bacteria; Pseudomonadati; Pseudomonadota; Alphaproteobacteria. The record is from RNAcentral.
GAAGGCGAUCGGAUAGCUGCGUCUGGGAAAGUAAAAUCCGCAGAUGAGGAAAGUCCGGGCUUCACGGAAACAAGGUACCAGAUAACGUCUGGCUGGAGUAAUCCACGGGAAAGUGCCGCAGAAAAUUACCGCCGAAAAUUUUUUCGGUAAGGUUGAAAAGGCGAGGUAAGAGCUCACCGCGCAGACAGCAAUGUUUGCGGCAAGGUAAACCCUACCUGAUGUAAGACCAAAUUGGGAGGCUUUAAUUUUUAUUAAAUGCAAGGACAGUUUCCGGUCCGCUCCAGAGGUAGGUCGCACCAGUCAAUCGGCGACGGUUGGCGCAGAUGAAUAGCUAUCGCACAAAUCUUUGCCCUCAAGGUAAAGCAAAUAGUGUACAGAACUCGGCUUACAGAUUGCCUUCAAAA